Molecule: transfer RNA, 71 nt
Filed under: Salmonella enterica subsp. enterica serovar Typhimurium str. DT104
Lineage: Bacteria; Pseudomonadati; Pseudomonadota; Gammaproteobacteria; Enterobacterales; Enterobacteriaceae
Also listed under: 34 other names
Description: tRNA-Und (NNN) (tRNA-Und-NNN-1-1)
Source: RNAcentral
AUAUUGGGACGGUCUCGAAAACCGGAGUAGGGGCAACUCUACCGGGGGUUCAAAUCCCCCUCUCUCCGCCA